CAGAGUCGGGACGAUGUUCGAUGG
Molecule: non-coding RNA, 24 nt
Filed under: Arabidopsis thaliana (thale cress)
Lineage: Eukaryota; Viridiplantae; Streptophyta; Magnoliopsida; Brassicales; Brassicaceae
Source: RNAcentral